UACGUAGGGGGCAAGCGUUGUCCGGAAUUAUUGGGCGUAAAGAGCGUGUAGGCGGCCAGAUAAGUCCGCUGUGAAAUCUCGAGGCUCAACUUCGAGCUGUCGGUGGAAACUAUCUGGCUAGAGUCCGGAAGAGGAGAAUGGAAUUCCUGGUGUAGCGGUGAAAUGCGCAGAUAUCAGGAAGAACACCGGUGGCGAAGGCGGUUCUCUGGGCAUGUCCUGACGCUGAGGAGCGAAAGUGUGGGGAGCGAACAGG
Molecule: ribosomal RNA, 253 nt
Filed under: uncultured bacterium
Lineage: Bacteria
Description: partial 16S ribosomal RNA
Rfam family: Bacterial small subunit ribosomal RNA
Source: RNAcentral